This 1069-nucleotide long non-coding RNA is filed under the name Citrus maxima (pomelo). RNAcentral describes it as "long non-coding RNA (CMAX_LNC001410)". Lineage: Eukaryota; Viridiplantae; Streptophyta; Magnoliopsida; Sapindales; Rutaceae. The record is from RNAcentral.
UAGUUGGCAUUUGGAAGUGGGAAACGGCAUACAAAUUUGUAUUAUUUGAUGAUAUCAUUUUUGGAUUCAACAUAAAAAUUAAAAUAUUGUCUGGUUUUGCUUUGUUGCAAAAUCAAAUCAAGCUGGGCAGAGAGGUUCACACAGCCAACAGAAGCAAAAUCAUACAAAUAACUAGUUGUAAUAUAACAUUAUAACUUGUCGGAUCGGAACAGCAAGUCAGCAAUAGUGCUAUUGUAUAUUACACGAGCAGGCAAUAAGCCUCACAGCAACAGCAAGUCAGCAAGUCACAAUAUUGGCCAUAUUUUCCUCAUAUUCUACGGUCAAAACCACUUAGCCUCACAGCAACAGCAAGUCAGCAACCAUGCACAAAAUUGGCAGAAGAUAAACACGAAUAGCAACAGCCAACACCAACAGAGAAGCAAUCGGCAAAAAUGCAAAUGGGAAGACAAAAUAUGGAAGGAAAAAAAUCAAUACAUGCGGCUGGUAGUGGUGGCUGUGAUGGCAGAGUGAUGGACUGAUGGUGGAUGACAAAGUGGCAAUGGAGAGUUGGAGACGGUGGCGUUGACGCUAACGGCGCCGGAGGGGGCUGCACUGCGCUGCUGCCGCUGCACGAACGACUCCCGUCACAGCCGCAACUGAGCAAAACCGAGUCAGCAAAUGCAAAUGAGAAGAGAUGAUGCCGACUGCCGACUGCCGAGGGGCGACGGUGACGGAGUGACGGUGGGUGCUAGCCGACGGUGACGGUGGCAGCGUCGCAGCUUAUGCCUUUGGGUUUGGGUGUUUUGUGAUUUGGGGAAUUAGGGAUUUUCGGAUUUGGGUCAUUGGGUGUUUUGCGAUUUGGGUUUGGGUGGGUAACUGGUUUUAGUUUUUUAUUUUUUUAAUUAGGAAAACGGGUCCGGGUCCGGGUUUCACGUUUUUGGUGCUGAACCCGGACCGUGCCCGGAUAUGUCCGGGUUUUAAAUUCUGAAACCCGGAUCCGCUUUUUCUGUAUAUGCGGUCCGGGUUUUACCCGGACCGGAUUGGCCGGGUCCGGUCCGGAUCCGGUCCGGGCGGGUUUUUUUGACACCCC